UACGAAGGGGGCUAGCGUUGUUCGGAAUCACUGGGCGUAAAGCGCGCGUAGGCGGGUCGUUAAGUCAGGGGUGAAAUCCCAAGGCUCAACCUUGGAACUGCCUUUGAUACUGGCGACCUGGAGUCCGGGAGAGGUGAGUGGAACUCCUAGUGUAGAGGUGAAAUUCGUAGAUAUUAGGAAGAACACCAGUGGCGAAGGCGGCUCACUGGCCCGGUACUGACGCUGAUGCGCGAAAGCGUGGGGAGCAAACAGG
This 253-nucleotide ribosomal RNA is filed under the name uncultured bacterium. RNAcentral describes it as "partial 16S ribosomal RNA". It matches the Rfam family "Bacterial small subunit ribosomal RNA", at positions 524 to 776 of the family's 1533-position model. The record is from RNAcentral.